Molecule: ribosomal RNA, 495 nt
Filed under: uncultured bacterium
Lineage: Bacteria
Description: partial 16S ribosomal RNA
Rfam family: Bacterial small subunit ribosomal RNA
Source: RNAcentral
GACGAACGCUGGCGGCGUGCCUAAUACAUGCAAGUAGAACGCUGAAGGAGGAGCUUGCUUCUCUGGAUGAGUUGCGAACGGGUGAGUAACGCGUAGGUAACCUGCCUGGUAGCGGGGGAUAACUAUUGGAAACGAUAGCUAAUACCGCAUAAUAGUAGAUGUUGCAUGACAUUUGCUUAAAAGGUGCAAUUGCAUCACUACCAGAUGGACCUGCGUUGUAUUAGCUAGUUGGUGGGGUAACGGCUCACCAAGGCGACGAUACAUAGCCGACCUGAGAGGGUGAUCGGCCACACUGGGACUGAGACACGGCCCAGACUCCUACGGGAGGCAGCAGUAGGGAAUCUUCGGCAAUGGACGGAAGUCUGACCGAGCAACGCCGCGUGAGUGAAGAAGGGUUUAGGAUCGUAAAGCUCUGUUGUAAGAGAAGAACGAGUGUGAGAGUGGAAAGUUCACACUGUGACGGUAUCUUACCAGAAAGGGACGGCUAACUACGUG